CAUUCAUGAGGAGAAGGAGAAGAAGUUCAGAUGCCAUUCCAGCUCGAAUUCCUUGAAGCAAUUGUAACAUUGCAGAUGAACUUCUUCUCCUUCUCCUCAUGAAUGAUUCAAAUUCACGGUCUAAUUCGCUUUCUCCUCCAUGGUGUACCUCACCAUCAUCACUGUCCUCUUCUUCUUCAAAACCCAUUCUUCUAUAUCUUCUACGUCGACGAGGAUUUCCCAUCAUGCCAAGCAAGAUUGGUGCCCAAAGGGAGAGUGCACUAUCGGAACUGAAAUCAGAAUCAGGCUCCUGAUUUUCUCUUGUACUACUACUCAUUUCUUCUAUAAAUCCACUUUGACAAAAUGGGCAUUUAAUCUCAGCUUCCAUUAUGGGACUCACCAUCUGAGAGCACAUGUGACACCAAUACCGGGCUGCCAUUGUUUCCUCCAUUCUUUCUCUCUCCCCUCCUCCAGCAACCACCCUUUUCUUGUAAUCUCCAAAAGUGGAUUUGAAUGGCAGAUUUGGUGGAGAAAAAUACGUCUAGAUUUUGUGUCGAGGAGAGAAGAAAAAGCAAGAGAACAGAAUGAA
This 568-nucleotide unclassified non-coding RNA is filed under the name Hevea brasiliensis (rubber tree). Lineage: Eukaryota; Viridiplantae; Streptophyta; Magnoliopsida; Malpighiales; Euphorbiaceae. The record is from RNAcentral.